AUAAAUAGAAAUAAUAAUAAAAAAAUAAAUAAAAUAUAACAGAAAAAACUUGGACUUGGACCUCUCUCAUUUGAGCCCACAAAGCCAUGAAAAUCAGGUUAUAAAAGAGGGAGAUCAGACAGAAGAAGGGAGAGAAGCAAAAUACUCUGAGGUUUCCUUGAAACAAAACCCUUGACAAAACCUGGAGAGAAACCUGACAGAGAACUCAGAGCAACCCCCAGGCAGCUCUGAAAAAUUCAAUCUGACUCACACACUUUCAUCUCACGCAAACCCUAACAUUGCCU
This 284-nucleotide long non-coding RNA is filed under the name Lathyrus oleraceus (garden pea). RNAcentral describes it as "Pisum sativum (pea) long non-coding RNA (PSAT_LNC006478)". Lineage: Eukaryota; Viridiplantae; Streptophyta; Magnoliopsida; Fabales; Fabaceae. The record is from RNAcentral.